Molecule: unclassified non-coding RNA, 225 nt
Filed under: plant metagenome
Description: partial contains small subunit ribosomal RNA, internal transcribed spacer 1, and 5.8S ribosomal RNA
Source: RNAcentral
UCUCCGUUGGUGAACCAGCGGAGGGAUCAUUACAGGACUCGCAAGACUCCUACACCCCUGUGAACUUAACUAUAAGCACGUUGCUUCGGCGGGUGUCUCGGAGGGGGUUCUCCCUCCCCGAGACGCUAAACCCGCCGGCAGCCUACUAUACUCUGUCUCUUUGCGUUGGCAUCUCGAGUACAAUCAAACAAGUUAAAACUUUCAACAACGGAUCUCUUGGUUCUG